RNAcentral lists this long non-coding RNA (331 nucleotides) under Monodelphis domestica (gray short-tailed opossum). Its description in RNAcentral is "lncRNA (ENSMODG00000051028.1)". Lineage: Eukaryota; Metazoa; Chordata; Mammalia; Didelphimorphia; Didelphidae. The record is from RNAcentral.
CCCAGGCUCUCCUGACUCCCUGGGAAAACCCUCCCCUCGCCAGUUGCCUGGGCUCAGUCCACCUCCAGCAAAGAAAUACUACUGUGCUGAUGACUCUCGCCGAAGGGAGACGCUUACUCUGGGAACUCUUGCUGAAGAGACUCUCGCAGACUUCUGGAUGGAGAUUGGAACUUUGUUGGAGUGAGAAGAAGGCAAACAAUCUGAUACCAAUUAUACGAGUGAAAUGAUGCAAAACAUUUCCAUAUCUGCCAAUGGAAAGGAAAAGCAAAGAAGAAAAAGUAAAGAAAGCAAGAAAUUAGACUUCAAUUUGUCCAUCAGUUCUCUUUCUGGA